GCAUUAGUGGUGUAAUGAUUAAGAUGUGGUCUUCCCAUCGUGUUCUCGACUAUCGAUUUAUGGCCGCGUUCGGGGUUCUAUUCCCCGCUAAUGUG
Armillaria mellea is the source of this 95-nucleotide non-coding RNA. The record is from the annotation of a GenBank genome assembly. Lineage: Eukaryota; Fungi; Basidiomycota; Agaricomycetes; Agaricales; Physalacriaceae.